Molecule: long non-coding RNA, 776 nt
Organism: Syngnathoides biaculeatus (alligator pipefish)
Lineage: Eukaryota; Metazoa; Chordata; Actinopteri; Syngnathiformes; Syngnathidae
Exons: 3
Source: RefSeq, a predicted model, not a curated record
CAUAGCAAAGGAGGCUGGCUUUUCACAGACUGCGGUGUCAUACCAAUGGAAACUCUACUGGAAGGAUGAAACUUGGCAGAAGAAGAUGCACAAGCAAAAUAGAUGACGCUGGGUUUCAACGGAUUUUCAAACAGAGAAGAUUCUAGAAUCUAGCAUAGAUCCAGAAAGACUGUGAUGAGGCGGGAGUCACCGCUUAAAAAAACACCACAUUCCGCUGGAUCUGGGAGAUGAGUUACAACUGUCGGGAAUCAAGGUCCACAGGUUUGGAGGAAGAUGCAUGAACAACAGAAGAGAAGCUUCUACAGCACCAGUGUAAAAUAUCCAAAGUCACUGCAAGAGUCUACCAGAAUCUCUUCAUGAGUCCUCCCACUGAAGAUCUGUAUGGAGAUGCAGAUUUCAUCUUCCAGCAGGACUUGGCCCUGCUAAUACCACCAGAAGGACCAAAACCUGGUUGGAUGCCCACCCCAUCACAAUGCUUGACUGGCCAGCCAUGUGGCUGGAUCUAAACCCCAAUGAAAAUCUAUGAGGUAUUAUCAGGAGGAAAAUGAGGGGUACCAGACCCAAAACAAAGAACGGCCAACAAGCAUCACAUAAAAAUGGGCUUUCAUAACUCCCAGGGAACCCCACCAGGUAAUUGCUUCAAUGCCACAGUGCAUCAAUCCAGUGAUACAAGCAAAGCGAUUCCUAACUAGAUCUUACAUGUUAACAUGUUGUUUUGAAAGUACCAUGUUUUCAUCGAAUGAAUGUCACUAUCAUUUUUUUCUACAAAAAAGGAG